AAUAGAUACCCAGGUAGUCCACGCCGUAAACGUUGGGCGCUAGAUGUGGGGACCAUUCCACGGUUUCCGCGUCGUAGCUAACGCAUUAAGCGCCCCGCCUGGGGAGUACGGCCGCAAGGCUAAAACUCAAAGGAAUUGACGGGGGCCCGCACAAGCGGCGGAGCAUGCGGAUUAAUUCGAUGCAACGCGAAGAACCUUACCAAGGUUUGACAUAUGCGAGAACGCUCUAGAAAUAGAGAACUCUUUGGACACUCGUAUACAGGUGGUGCAUGGUUGUCGUCAGCUCGUGUCGUGAGAUGUUGGGUUAAGUCCCGCAACGAGCGCAACCCUCGUCGCAUGUUGCCAGCACGUAAUGGUGGGAACUCAUGUGAGACUGCCGGGGUCAACUCGGAGGAAGGUGGGGAUGACGUCAAAUCAUCAUGCCCCUUAUGUCUUGGGCUUCACGCAUGCUACAAUGGCCGGUACAAAGGGCUGCGAAACCGCAAGGUGGAGCGAAUCCCAAAAAGCCGGUCUCAGUUCGGA
This 522-nucleotide ribosomal RNA is filed under the name uncultured bacterium. RNAcentral describes it as "bacterial SSU rRNA". It matches the Rfam family "Bacterial small subunit ribosomal RNA", at positions 777 to 1297 of the family's 1533-position model. The record is from RNAcentral.